UCGCGCCUACGGGGCGCAGCAGUGGGGAAUAUUGCACAAUGGGGGAAACCCUGAUGCAGCGACGCCGCGUGAGUGAAGAAGUAUUUCGGUACGUAAAGCUCUAUCAGCAGGGAAGAAAAACCGGCCUUAGGGCCGCCAGACGGUACCUGACUAAGAAGCCCCGGCUAACUACGUGCCAGCAGCCGCGGUAAUACGUAGGGGGCAAGCGUUAUCCGGAUUUAUUGGGUUUAAAGGGUGCGUAGGCGGGCUGUUAAGUCAGCGGUAAAAGCCCGGGGCUCAACCCCGGCGAGCCGUUGAAACUGGCU
Molecule: ribosomal RNA, 305 nt
Filed under: uncultured bacterium
Lineage: Bacteria
Description: bacterial SSU rRNA
Rfam family: Bacterial small subunit ribosomal RNA
Source: RNAcentral